UACGUAGGGGGCUAGCGUUGUCCGGAUUUAUUGGGCGUAAAGAGCUCGUAGGCGGUUCGUCGCGUCGGCUGUGAAAACCCGGAGCUCAACUCCGGGCCUGCAGUCGAUACGGGCGGACUUGAGUGUUGCAGGGGAGACUGGAAUUCCUGGUGUAGCGGUGAAAUGCGCAGAUAUCAGGAGGAACACCGGUGGCGAAGGCGGGUCUCUGGGCAACUACUGACGCUGAGGAGCGAAAGCGUGGGGAGCGAACAGG
This 253-nucleotide ribosomal RNA is filed under the name uncultured bacterium. Its description in RNAcentral is "partial 16S ribosomal RNA". It matches the Rfam family "Bacterial small subunit ribosomal RNA", at positions 524 to 776 of the family's 1533-position model. The record is from RNAcentral.